UACGUAGGGGGCUAGCGUUGUCCGGAUUUAUUGGGCGUAAAGAGCGUGUAGGCGGCCAGGUAGGUCUGGUGUGAAAACUCGAGGCUUAACCUCGAGAUGUCAUCGGAAACCAUCUGGCUAGAGUCCGGAAGAGGAGAGUGGAAUUCCUGGUGUAGCGGUGAAAUGCGCAGAUAUCAGGAAGAACACCAAUGGCGAAAGCAGCUCUCUGGGACGGAACUGACGCUGAGGCGCGAAAGCGUGGGGAGCGAACAGG
Molecule: ribosomal RNA, 253 nt
Filed under: uncultured bacterium
Lineage: Bacteria
Description: partial 16S ribosomal RNA
Rfam family: Bacterial small subunit ribosomal RNA
Source: RNAcentral